Molecule: ribosomal RNA, 474 nt
Filed under: Pseudomonas sp. NN018601
Lineage: Bacteria; Pseudomonadati; Pseudomonadota; Gammaproteobacteria; Pseudomonadales; Pseudomonadaceae
Description: bacterial SSU rRNA
Rfam family: Bacterial small subunit ribosomal RNA
Source: RNAcentral
AUUGAACGCUGGCGGCAGGCCUAACACAUGCAAGUCGAGCGGUAGAGAGAAGCUUGCUUCUCUUGAGAGCGGCGGACGGGUGAGUAAUGCCUAGGAAUCUGCCUGGUAGUGGGGGAUAACGCUCGGAAACGGACGCUAAUACCGCAUACGUCCUACGGGAGAAAGCAGGGGACCUUCGGGCCUUGCGCUAUCAGAUGAGCCUAGGUCGGAUUAGCUAGUUGGUGAGGUAAUGGCUCACCAAGGCGACGAUCCGUAACUGGUCUGAGAGGAUGAUCAGUCACACUGGAANUGAGACACGGUCCAGACUCCUACGGGAGGCAGCAGUGGGGAAUAUUGGACAAUNGGNGAAAGCCUGAUCCAGCCAUGCCGCGUGUGUGAAGAAGGUCUUCGGAUUGUAAAGCACUUUAAGUUGGGAGGAAGGGCAGUUACCUAAUACGUAUCUGUUUUGACGUUACCGACAGAAUAAGCACCGGC